GGUCAAGUGAAGAAGCGCAUACGGUGGAUGCCUUGGCAGUCAGAGGCGAUGAAAGACGUGGUAGCCUGCGAAAAGCUUCGGGGAGUCGGCAAACAGACUUUGAUCCGGAGAUGUCUGAAUGGGGGAACCCAGCCAUCAUAAGAUGGUUAUCUUGUACUGAAUACAUAGGUGCAAGAGGCGAACCAGGGGAACUGAAACAUCUAAGUACCCUGAGGAAAAGAAAUCAACCGAGAUUCCCUUAGUAGUGGCGAGCGAACGGGGACUAGCCCUUAAGUGGCUUUGAGAUUAGCGGAACGCUCUGGAAAGUGCGGCCAUAGUGGGUGAUAGCCCUGUACGCGAAAAUCUCUUAGUCAUGAAAUCGAGUAGGACGGAGCACGAGAAACUUUGUCUGAAUAUGGGGGGACCAUCCUCCAAGGCUAAAUACUACUGACUGACCGAUAGUGAACUAGUACCGUGAGGGAAAGGCGAAAAGAACCCCGGAGAGGGGAGUGAAAUAGAUCCUGAAACCGUAUGCGUACAAGCAGUGGGAGCCCACUUUGUUGGGUGACUGCGUACCUUUUGUAUAAUGGGUCAGCGACUUAUUUUCAGUGGCGAGCUUAACCGAAUAGGGGAGGCGUAGCGAAAGCGAGUCUUAAUAGGGCGUCUAGUCGCUGGGAAUAGACCCGAAACCGGGCGAUCUAUCCAUGGGCAGGUUGAAGGUUGGGUAACACUAACUGGAGGACCGAACCGACUACCGUUGAAAAGUUAGCGGAUGACCUGUGGAUCGGAGUGAAAGGCUAAUCAAGCUCGGAGAUAGCUGGUUCUCCUCGAAAGCUAUUUAGGUAGCGCCUCAUGUAUCACUGUAGGGGGUAGAGCACUGUUUCGGCUAGGGGGUCAUCCCGACUUACCAAACCGAUGCAAACUCCGAAUACCUACAAGUGCCGAGCAUGGGAGACACACGGCGGGUGCUAACGUCCGUCGUGAAAAGGGAAACAACCCAGACCGUCAGCUAAGGUCCCAAAGUUAUGGUUAAGUGGGAAACGAUGUGGGAAGGCUUAGACAGCUAGGAGGUUGGCUUAGAAGCAGCCACCCUUUAAAGAAAGCGUAAUAGCUCACUAGUCGAGUCGGCCUGCGCGGAAGAUGUAACGGGGCUCAAACCAUACACCGAAGCUACGGGUAUCACGUAAGUGAUGCGGUAGAGGAGCGUUCUGUAAGCCUGUGAAGGUGAGUUGAGAAGCUUGCUGGAGGUAUCAGAAGUGCGAAUGCUGACAUGAGUAACGACAAUGGGUGUGAAAAACACCCACGCCGAAAGACCAAGGUUUCCUGCGCAACGUUAAUCGACGCAGGGUUAGUCGGUCCCUAAGGCGAGGCUGAAAAGCGUAGUCGAUGGAAAACAGGUUAAUAUUCCUGUACUUCUGGUUAUUGCGAUGGAGGGACGGAGAAGGCUAGGCCAGCUUGGCGUUGGUUGUCCAAGUUUAAGGUGGUAGGCUGGAAUCUUAGGUAAAUCCGGGAUUCUAAGGCCGAGAGCUGAUGACGAGUUA
This 1520-nucleotide ribosomal RNA is filed under the name Pseudomonas haemolytica. RNAcentral describes it as "partial 23S ribosomal RNA". It matches the Rfam family "Bacterial large subunit ribosomal RNA", at positions 1 to 1576 of the family's 2925-position model. The record is from RNAcentral. Lineage: Bacteria; Pseudomonadati; Pseudomonadota; Gammaproteobacteria; Pseudomonadales; Pseudomonadaceae.